This 481-nucleotide ribosomal RNA is filed under the name uncultured bacterium. RNAcentral describes it as "bacterial SSU rRNA". It matches the Rfam family "Bacterial small subunit ribosomal RNA", at positions 64 to 524 of the family's 1533-position model. The record is from RNAcentral.
GAGCGAAGCUNGAGGGAGUUUACUCCCAAAGGUUAGCGGCGGACCGGUGAGUAACUUGUGGGCAACCUGCCUGUAAGACUGGGAUAACUUCGGGAAACCGGAGCUAAUACCGGGAUAACAUAUGAGACCACAUGGUCUUGUAUUAAAAGGUGGCUUUUAGCUACCACUUACAGAUGGGCCCGCGGCGCAUUAGCUAGUUGGUGAGGUAACGGCUCACCAAGGCGACGAUGCGUAGCCGACCUGAGAGGGUGAUCGGCCACACUGGGACUGAGACACGGCCCAGACUCCUACGGGAGGCAGCAGUAGGGAAUCUUCCGCAAUGGACGAAAGUCUGACGGAGCAACGCCGCGUGAGCGAAGAAGGUCUUCGGAUCGUAAAGCUCUGUUGUUAGGGAAGAACAAGUAUCGUUCGAAUAGGGCGGUACCUUGACGGUACCUAACCAGAAAGCCACGGCUAACUACGUGCCAGCAGCCGCGGUAAU